Molecule: transfer RNA, 85 nt
Filed under: Felis catus (domestic cat)
Lineage: Eukaryota; Metazoa; Chordata; Mammalia; Carnivora; Felidae
Rfam family: tRNA
About the family: Transfer RNA (tRNA) molecules are approximately 80 nucleotides in length. Their secondary structure includes four short double-helical elements and three loops (D, anti-codon, and T loops).
Source: Rfam by way of RNAcentral
ACCUGGGUGGCUCAGUCGGUUGAGCGUCUGACUUCAGCUCAGGUCAUGAUCUCGCAGUUUGUGGGUUUGAGCCCCACGUCGGGCU